RNAcentral lists this ribosomal RNA (1618 nucleotides) under Myxobolus shaharomae. Its description in RNAcentral is "SSU rRNA". It matches the Rfam family "Eukaryotic small subunit ribosomal RNA", at positions 102 to 1490 of the family's 1831-position model. The record is from RNAcentral. Lineage: Eukaryota; Metazoa; Cnidaria; Myxozoa; Bivalvulida; Myxobolidae.
UAAAUCAGUGAUAAUCUGUUUGAUUUUCUCUCCCAUUGGAUAACCGUGGGAAAUCUAGAGCUAAUACGUGCGGUAUAUUGGCGUGGCUCUCGGGCUCGUCAAAGCAUUUAUUAGACUAAACCAACUACUAUGUUUACUCAUAGUAAGGGGAAUCUGGAUAACUUUGCUGAUCGUAUGGCCUUGCGCCGGCGACGUUUCAAUUGAGUUUCUGCCCUAUCAACUUGUUGGUAAGGUAUUGGCUUACCAAGGUUGCAACGGGUAACGGGGAAUCAGGGUUCGAUUCCGGAGAGGGAGCCUGAGAAACGGCUACCACAUCCAAGGAAGGCAACAGGCGCGCAAAUUACCCAAUCUAGACAGUAGGAGGUGGUGAAGAGAAUUACUAAAUGGUGGUCCAAUGGAUCACUUGUUUGGAAUGAACGUAACUUAAGAAAUUCGUUGAUAAACAACUGGAGGGCAAGUCCUGGUGCCAGCAGCCGCGGUAAUUCCAGCUCCAGUAGUUUGCUUUAAAGUUGUUGCGUUUAAAACGCUCGUAGUUGGAUCAAGAAGCAGUGUUCAGUUAUCUUUUGUUGCUCACCUUCAUUUGUGUCCGUCUCUGACGGCUCAUUUGCUGGCAGGCGCACUAGAUGCUAUGCUGAAUGCUGUUAGUUGCACGUGAGAUAGAUUGUUGGCCUUAAAUGAGCCGGUAUUCUUGUCUUGCGGGGUGUGCCUUGAAUAAAACAGAGUGCUUAAAGCAGGUUAUUGCCUGAAUGUUAUAGCAUGGAACGAACAAUCGUGUAUAUGCACGUGUUAUUGGAUCGCUGCGAGCUUUUGGUUUGUAGCUUUCCGAAAUGCGUGCGGCACCCACCAAAAUAUGGCUGUUGGUUCCAUAUACGGUGAUGAUUAACAGGAGCGGUUGGGGGCAUCGGUAUUUGGCCGCGAGAGGUGAAAUUCUUAGACCGGCCAAGGACUAACAAAUGCAAAGGCACUUGUCUAGACCGUUUCCAUUAAUCAAGAACGAAAGUGGGAGGUUCGAAGACGAUCAGAUACCGUCAUAGUUCCCACCGUAAACUAUGCCGACCUGGGAUCAGUUUGGAGAUGAUACAAGCUCCAAAUUGGUCCCCCUGGGAAACCUAAAGUUUUUCGGUUACGGGGAGAGUAUGGUCGCAAGGCUGAAACUUAAAGGAAUUGACGGAAGGGCACCACCAGGGGUGGAGCCUGCGGCUUAAUUUGACUCAACACGGGGAAACUUACCUGGUCCGGACAUCGAAAGGAUUAACAGAUCAAUAGCUCUUUUAUGAUACGAUGAGUGGUGGUGCAUGGCCGUUCUUAGUUCGUGGAGUGAUCUGUCAGCUUAAUUGCGGUAACGAACGAGACCACAGUCUCCAUUUGAGAGAUGGAAGAAGGUGUUUGGCCGGAAGACUUCGGUUGACGGUUGAACACUGUAGGUAGAACUGAGUUUCCUUUGUCGAUAUUGAGGGGCAACCUGAGGUAUUGGCGUUGGGAACGCAGUUUCUCCCUUCCAUUUCGCAGCAGUCGGCCUCGGCUGGCUGUUGCUUCAUGGAGAGACAACGAGGUAUAAACAAGCUCGAGGAAGAGUGGCUAUAACAGGUCAGUGAUGCCCUUCGAUGUUCAGGGCUGC